Non-coding RNA from Sesamum indicum (sesame), 481 nucleotides. NCBI's taxonomy places the organism in Eukaryota, Viridiplantae, Streptophyta, Magnoliopsida, Lamiales, Pedaliaceae. The record is from RefSeq and is a predicted model, not a curated record.
UUCUGAUUGAGGAAAUUAAGCAUGAUAAUUGAUAGGCCAUCUGCCGUGUUGUGUUUUUCUGCUAUUCAAACCCCAAUAUUCAAAGCUCAAGAAACGAUCUAUCGGUCUUGUUGAAGUUGAUUCUUGUUACAAAUCUGUGGUUUGUCACAGUGACAAAUGCUGUUAAUGCCUUAGGAGGACUUGUACCUAUGCUUACAUCCUUCUAUAUUAAGCUGCACUUUUUGGUGCCCAGCACUCAUUGCUUGUCAUGAUGCUGCUGCUGACAUGCAAUUGUAUGCUGCUUGUCGAUCCAGAUGCUAUGGCUGUAGCGACAGUUGGAGAUCUUAGUCCUCAUCCUGUUGUUGCAGCCUCCUGAACCGGCUCUUCCGGCCCCUGAAAUUGCUGAUUCAUUGCUUGCCUUCCUAUUGGUGCAGCAGUUCGUGCACGCCUUGUGUAUAUAAACUGUUGCUGUGGGACUGGAUGACCAAUUACAGGGGUCGGU